CGGGGGAGCAAGCGUUGUUCGGAUUUACUGGGCGUAAAGGGCGCGUAGGCGGCCAGCACAAGUCAGUUGUGAAAUCUCCGGGCUUAACUCGGAACGGUCAACUGAUACUGUGCGGCUAGAGUGCAGAAGGGGCAACUGGAAUUCUCGGUGUAGCGGUGAAAUGCGUAGAUAUCGAGAGGAACACCUGCGGCGAAGGCGGGUUGCUGGGCUGACACUGACGCUGAUGCGCGAAAGCCAGGGGGGCGAACGGGAUUAGAUACCCCGGUAGUCCUGGCCUUAAACGAUGGAUGCUUGGUGUCUGGAGUUUUAUAGUCUCCGGGUGCCGUAGCUAACGCGUUAAGCAUCCCGCCUGGGGAGUACGGUCGCAAGACUG
This 373-nucleotide ribosomal RNA is filed under the name uncultured organism. Its description in RNAcentral is "bacterial SSU rRNA". It matches the Rfam family "Bacterial small subunit ribosomal RNA", at positions 527 to 896 of the family's 1533-position model. The record is from RNAcentral.